RNAcentral lists this non-coding RNA (26 nucleotides) under Rattus norvegicus (Norway rat). Lineage: Eukaryota; Metazoa; Chordata; Mammalia; Rodentia; Muridae. The record is from RNAcentral.
UGAAAAAGUCUGAGCUUGAAGUUGUC